AUUGAACGCUGGCGGCAGGCCUAACACAUGCAAGUCGAGCGGAUGAAGGGAGCUUGCUCCUGGAUUCAGCGGCGGACGGGUGAGUAAUGCCUAGGAAUCUGCCUGGUAGUGGGGGAUAACGUCCGGAAACGGGCGCUAAUACCGCAUACGUCCUGAGGGAGAAAGUGGGGGAUCUUCGGACCUCACGCUAUCAGAUGAGCCUAGGUCGGAUUAGCUAGUUGGUGGGGUAAAGGCCUACCAAGGCGACGAUCCGUAACUGGUCUGAGAGGAUGAUCAGUCACACUGGAGCUGAGACGCGGUCCAGACGCCUACGGGAGGCAGCAGUGGGGAAUAUUGGACAAUAGGCGAGAGCCUGAUCCAACCAUGCCGCGUGUGUGAAGAAGGUCUUCGGAUUGUAAAGCACUUUAAGUUGGGAGGAAGGGCAGUAAGUUAAUACCUUGCUGUUUUGACGUUACCAACAGAAUAAGCACCGGCUAACUUCGUG
This 484-nucleotide ribosomal RNA is filed under the name uncultured bacterium. RNAcentral describes it as "partial 16S ribosomal RNA". It matches the Rfam family "Bacterial small subunit ribosomal RNA", at positions 30 to 507 of the family's 1533-position model. The record is from RNAcentral.